UACGGAGGGGGCAAGCGUUGUUCGGAAUUACUGGGCGUAAAGCGGGUGUAGGCGGCCUCGCAAGUCAGAUGUGAAAUCCCUGGGCCCAACCCAGGAACUGCAUUUGAUACUGCUUGGCUCGAGUCCCGGAGAGGAUGGCGGAAUUCCACGUGUAGCGGUGAAAUUCGUAGAUAUGUGGAGGAACACCAGCGGCGAAGGCGGCCAUCUGGACGGUGACUGACGCUCAGACCAGAAAGCGUGGGGAGCAAACAGG
Molecule: ribosomal RNA, 253 nt
Filed under: uncultured bacterium
Lineage: Bacteria
Description: partial 16S ribosomal RNA
Rfam family: Bacterial small subunit ribosomal RNA
Source: RNAcentral